This is a non-coding RNA of Zootermopsis nevadensis, 467 nucleotides long. NCBI's taxonomy places the organism in Eukaryota, Metazoa, Arthropoda, Insecta, Blattodea, Termopsidae. The record is from RefSeq and is a predicted model, not a curated record.
UUGCUUUCAUCCAAACACGUUUCGGAAACUGGAUCUAGUUCUGUCUUCUGGUAAUUAAAUUGGAAAGGAGUUCUCUUUGUGGGAGAAAAUCAGUGUCUGCACAUGGACUGGAACUCAGACCGCUUUGUUACAGACAAUUGCUUUACGACUGAGCUAUUGCAUUCCAUCACACAAUGACUGCUCCCUGCACAGCGUCAGCUGCGUUCUACACCAUUUAUUUGACCGAGCUGUUUCUUUGAAAUAUUUUUGUCAAUACACACCCAGUUGUCAUAUGUCCAUGGGAGAGUCAUGUGAUGAGGCUGUAUCAGGUUCCUGAGGAUGCUUCAAAGACACUGUUGACAGUGCAAACUCUGUUGAAGAAUUGGGCCAGUCAGUGAUAUGUUAUGACAAGCUCUUCUAUCUCUCUGGUAGAGGCCUUGCGACGGACCGAUCCCUCAUCCAAGGAGUCCUAAGAAAUGUCCAUAGAU